GUCAGUAGACACAUUCCAGCCAAUCAGCAGCAGACCCUCCCUCCCAGACCCUCCCACCUCCUGGACAGCUAACUAAGAAUGCAGCUUCACAAUGAAUGUAAAAUGGAUGCUGUCCAGGAGGUGGAAGGGGCUGGGAGGGAGGGUCUGCUGCUGAUUGGCUGGAAUGUGUCUGCUG
Molecule: microRNA precursor, 175 nt
Filed under: Pelobates cultripes (western spadefoot toad)
Lineage: Eukaryota; Metazoa; Chordata; Amphibia; Anura; Pelobatidae
Source: RNAcentral